GAUGAACGCUGGCGGCGUGCCUAAUACAUGCAAGUCGAGCGAACAGAUAAGGAGCUUGCUCCUUUGACGUUAGCGGCGGACGGGUGAGUAACACGUGGGUAACCUACCUAUAAGACUGGGAUAACUUCGGGAAACCGGAGCUAAUACCGGAUAAUAUUUCGAACCGCAUGGUUCGAUAGUGAAAGAUGGUUUUGCUAUCACUUAUAGAUGGACCCGCGCCGUAUUAGCUAGUUGGUAAGGUAACGGCUUACCAAGGCGACGAUACGUAGCCGACCUGAGAGGGUGAUCGGCCACACUGGAACCGAGACACGGUCCAGACUCCUACGGGAGGCAGCAGUAGGGAAUCUUCCGCAAUGGGCGAAAGCCUGACGGAGCAACGCCGCGUGAGUGAUGAAGGUCUUCGGAUCGUAAAACUCUGUUAUUAGGGAAGAACAUACGUGUAAGUAACUGUGCACGUCUUGACGGUACCUAAUCAGAAAGCCACGGCUAACUACGU
RNAcentral lists this ribosomal RNA (496 nucleotides) under uncultured bacterium. RNAcentral describes it as "partial 16S ribosomal RNA". It matches the Rfam family "Bacterial small subunit ribosomal RNA", at positions 28 to 506 of the family's 1533-position model. The record is from RNAcentral.